This is an RNA transcript of Gallus gallus (chicken), 524 nucleotides long. RefSeq lists it as uncharacterized. The record is from RefSeq and is a predicted model, not a curated record. The transcript has 3 exons. NCBI's taxonomy places the organism in Eukaryota, Metazoa, Chordata, Aves, Galliformes, Phasianidae.
CUUGGAAGAAGCGAAGCCAACAGCAGUGCAGCUGCCUGCUAACAAAAGAGUGAGGGGGCCGAGCGGAGACAGCGUGCCAGCUCCAGCAGCACACCCUGGGCCUGCUGCAGCGCGGAGCUCCAAGCUAAGAGCGAGAAGACGCCAAGAGAAAGAGAGGAGAGGGGAAUCGAUGAAGGCUGCCCUCAGAGCUGCCGCUGCACGUGCAGAGGCCUCCGCAGUGAACAGCCUUGUGGAGAUGAUGCAGAAGCUGCAGCUGAAGGACUGAGAGGAGGAGCGUCAGCAGGCAGCGGCUGCAGUGCGCGGCGUUACAGGGCAGCGCUGCGAGUGCCGCCCAACUCGGCCCUCCAACUUCAGAUGGAGUCAAUAAAAACCAGUCACAAUGAGAGAUUCACACAGAGCGCACGGCCUCAUUUGUCCAGCGGCACUCGGAGAGCUGCUGCACCACCUCCUCGUUAUUGGUCUCGCGGCGCUCGCUCAGAACUCCCACAGCUCCGUCAGCGAAUGCUGCCAUCCAGUGAUGCAGU